CAGUUACCCAUCUCUGCUUUAGCAGGCCGUCAGUUACCCAUCUCUGCUUUAGCAGGCCGUCAGUUACCCAUCUCUGCUUUAGCAGUCCGUCAGUUACCCAUCUCUGCUUUAGCAGGCCGUCAGUUACCCAUCUCUGCUUUAGCAGUCCGUCAGUUACCCAUCUCUGCUUUAGCAGGCCGUCAGUUACCCAUCUCUGCUUUAGCAGGCCGUCAGUUACCCAUCUCUGCUUUAGCAGGCCGUCAGUUACCCAUCUCUGCUUUAGCAGGCCGUCAGUUACCCAUCUCUGCUUUAGCAAGUCACUGAUCAAAGAAUGUUCUCCCUUCUACUUUUCUCCCUUCUUCUUUUCUCCCUUCUUCUUUUCUCCCUUCCUUCCAGCUCAUAAAUGAACUGUCAAUGAAACUGGACAUCGUGGUCAUCCUCAACAAAGCUGAAGCUAUAUGCCUGCAGCUGAAGAGUUGUAAGGAUUUGCCCAACUCCGUGGUUGAGAUGCUUGGAUUCAACAGCAGAGACACUGAGUCAUCAUCCCAGUCAGAGGACACUGAGAGAACGGACAGACCAGACUCUCCCGAACCUUCUACACCGUCAGACGACCAGCAGGACUUAGUCUCUGAGUACAACCCCAGCGGCAACAACGGACACUUACGGGACGCAGCGCGUGACGUUUACAAAUUAGCUUACAUAUCGUAGCCAGCCUGGCUAACAGUAGUCUCUCGUCCAGUGAGAGAUUUGGUUCUGGUGGCUGAGACGAGGCUCACAGCCUGGUGAAAAAGGUGGAUUGCGCCUCUCCCACCUCACAGCCCGAGGAGAGAUAGGAAAUGGCUUCUCAUGGCAGUAUCUUUAUAAUAGAGCCCAAGAGCUAUUCAUUUACAGGAAGUUUUUGCAAAUCAAAUCAUUUUUGUAAUGAUUCUGUCUGUUAAUCAUCUAAUUUUUCUUGUUCGAUGGUGGUCUUUGAGUUUUUAGGAUAUUGUUCCUUAUUGCCCCUGACUCCAAGGUAUUUAGUGUUCAGCAGAUUGCUCCUUAUUGCCCCUGACUAUAAGGUAUUUAGUGUUCAGCAGAUUGCUCCUUAUUGCCCCUGACUAUAAGGUAUUUAGUGUUCAGCAGAUUGCUC
This is a long non-coding RNA of Oncorhynchus tshawytscha (Chinook salmon), 1108 nucleotides long. The record is from Ensembl. Lineage: Eukaryota; Metazoa; Chordata; Actinopteri; Salmoniformes; Salmonidae.